Molecule: long non-coding RNA, 526 nt
Organism: Acinonyx jubatus (cheetah)
Lineage: Eukaryota; Metazoa; Chordata; Mammalia; Carnivora; Felidae
Exons: 3
Source: RefSeq, a predicted model, not a curated record
UAUUUUACUAAAGGACUUGUGGAUUGCGGGGUCUCACGACAUCACCUCAUAGAUGUAGUCGAUGGUUUGCUCCAGAUUCAGGUUUGCUUCCAGGAAGAAACGCUAACAGAAAUUCAGAAGCACGGGAGCUGCAAUCAAUUAGGACGUGGAUCCAUGAAAUGCUCGUCUCAGGACCUUCUAGAAGAAUGAGCUGGGACCCACUUUCCGAGUCCUGCUGGAACCAGAAACCGAGUCUAUGCAAGUCAGAAUCAACCUCCAUCCACCUCCAUCCUUUAUGAGACCUAAGACGUGAUGCAGCUCCCAUGGGAAAUAUCAUUUGUGUCUCUACCAAGGAUGCAGAGAAAGACAAGAUCCAGGCUUGUUUCCGGUAAGAAACCCUGACAGAAAUUCAGAAGAAUGGGAGCUGCAUUCCAUUAGGACGUGAAUACACGAAAUGUUCUUCUCAGGACCUUCUAGAAGAAUGAGCUGGGACCCACUUUCCAAGUCCUGCUGGAACCAGAGACUGAGGUAAGGGCACAAACUGUCC